AGAGUUUGAUCCUGGCUCAGAAUGAACGCUGGCGGCAGGCCUAACACAUGCAAGUCGAACGCACCUUCGGGUGAGUGGCGGACGGGUGAGUAACGCGUGGGAACAUACCCUUUGGUACGGAAUAGUCCUGGGAAACUGGGGGUAAUACCGUAUGUGCUCUUCGGAGGAAAGAUUUAUCGCCAAAGGAUUGGCCCGCGUUGGAUUAGGUAGUUGGUGGGGUAAUGGCCUACCAAGCCGACGAUCCAUAGCUGGUUUUAGAGGAUGAUCAGCCACACUGGGACUGAGACACGGCCCAGACUCCUACGGGAGGCAGCAGUGGGGAAUCUUAGACAAU
RNAcentral lists this ribosomal RNA (334 nucleotides) under uncultured bacterium. RNAcentral describes it as "bacterial SSU rRNA". It matches the Rfam family "Bacterial small subunit ribosomal RNA", at positions 8 to 372 of the family's 1533-position model. The record is from RNAcentral.